AGUCGACAAUACUGGACUAGAAUGGGCACUGCUGAUUGGUGUCCAGAAUUGGUCAAUGUGGCUAAAUUGAGACACAGGUCAAGUUCCCGUCACAGCAAACGUUUACAGUGGUGACAGGCCUGUAACAUGU
This is a small nucleolar RNA of Octodon degus (degu), 130 nucleotides long. The record is from Ensembl. Lineage: Eukaryota; Metazoa; Chordata; Mammalia; Rodentia; Octodontidae.